CUACAAACCCGUGCUGCCGCUGUUUCGAAAGAAAUGGAGGAAAGUCCGGACAGCAUAGAGCGAUGCACCAUCUAACGGAUGGGGUUCUUUUUAAGAAUACAGAAAGUGCCACAGAAAAUAACCGCCGGAGCGUCAAGGCUUGCCGAAGCGCAACGGUAAGGGUGAAAAUGUGCGGUAAGAGCGCACGGUAGUUAUGGGUAACUAUAAUUGCGGGUAAACCUUGCAUGAUGAAAUGCCCAAUAGGCAGGCGCUUGAGGACUGCUCGUCCGAUGCCUGCGGGUAGGCAGAUAGAAUGUUGCAGCAAUGUAACAUCCAGAUAAAUGGCAGCAGCCCCGCAGCAAUGCGGGGUACAAAAUCCGGCUUACAGGGUUUGUAGUUUU
This 380-nucleotide RNase P RNA is filed under the name Taibaiella lutea. RNAcentral describes it as "Bacterial RNase P class A". It matches the Rfam family "Bacterial RNase P class A". From Rfam's summary of the family: Ribonuclease P (RNase P) is a ubiquitous endoribonuclease, found in archaea, bacteria and eukarya as well as chloroplasts and mitochondria. Its best characterised activity is the generation of mature 5'-ends of tRNAs by cleaving the 5'-leader elements of precursor-tRNAs. Cellular RNase Ps are ribonucleoproteins. The record is from Rfam by way of RNAcentral. Lineage: Bacteria; Pseudomonadati; Bacteroidota; Chitinophagia; Chitinophagales; Chitinophagaceae.